This 492-nucleotide ribosomal RNA is filed under the name uncultured bacterium. RNAcentral's name for it is "partial 16S ribosomal RNA". It matches the Rfam family "Bacterial small subunit ribosomal RNA", at positions 29 to 507 of the family's 1533-position model. The record is from RNAcentral.
AGUGAACGCUGGCGGUAGGCCUAACACAUGCAAGUCGAACGGCAGCACAGUAAGAGCUUGCUCUUACGGGUGGCGAGUGGCGGACGGGUGAGGAAUACAUCGGAAUCUACUUUUUCGUGGGGGAUAACGUAGGGAAACUUACGCUAAUACCGCAUACGACCUACGGGUGAAAGCAGGGGAUCUUCGGACCUUGCGCGAUUGAAUGAGCCGAUGUCGGAUUAGCUAGUUGGCGGGGUAAAGGCCCACCAAGGCGACGAUCCGUAGCUGGUCUGAGAGGAUGAUCAGCCACACCGGAACUGAGACACGGUCCAGACUCCUACGGGAGGCAGCAGUGGGGAAUAUUGGACAAUGGGCGCAAGCCUGAUCCAGCCAUACCGCGUGGGUGAAGAAGGCCUUCGGGUUGUAAAGCCCUUUUGUUGGGAAAGAAAAGCAGCAGGUUAAUACCCCGCUGUUCUGACGGUACCCAAAGAAUAAGCACCGGCUAACCUCGUG